Molecule: ribosomal RNA, 268 nt
Filed under: Escherichia coli
Lineage: Bacteria; Pseudomonadati; Pseudomonadota; Gammaproteobacteria; Enterobacterales; Enterobacteriaceae
Description: partial 23S ribosomal RNA
Rfam family: Bacterial large subunit ribosomal RNA
Source: RNAcentral
GCUAUGUUGGCCGGGCGACGGUUGUCCCGGUUUAAGCGUGUAGGCUGGUUUUCCAGGCAAAUCCGGAAAAUCAAGGCUGAGGCGUGAUGACGAGGCACUACGGUGCUGAAGCAACAAAUGCCCUGCUUCCAGGAAAAGCCUCUAAGCAUCAGGUAACAUCAAAUCGUACCCCAAACCGACACAGGUGGUCAGGUAGAGAAUACCAAGGCGCUUGAGAGAACUCGGGUGAAGGAACUAGGCAAAAUGGUGCCGUAACUUCGGGAGAAGG